RNAcentral lists this long non-coding RNA (828 nucleotides) under Mustela putorius furo (domestic ferret). Its description in RNAcentral is "lncRNA (ENSMPUG00000030922.1)". Lineage: Eukaryota; Metazoa; Chordata; Mammalia; Carnivora; Mustelidae. The record is from RNAcentral.
UGUAGGUGGAAAGAAGAAGGUUUAACUUUUGAGGAUUUCCUUCAACUCCUGCUUUGGAUUCUCUUCUACAACAAGCACCUAGGAAAUGAUCUGUGGACAAGUGUACAAGACUAUUGUAUGUUGAGUCAGAUGUGAACACAGUGGUCUCCAAUCCUGGAAACAUUUUCUUCUAAUAAUUGCCACACUUACAUGACUUCAGAUCUGUACAUGGCGGGCUUCUGCAGAGCUCCAGUCCCAUUUCAACCACUGCUGAAUCCAGGUCUUCCUUACCUCCACUAUCUUCAUGGAACCUUCCAGCCCCACGUUCAGCUUGCUCUGCAUUUGGACUUGUCUAGCUCUGUAACCACGUCACUUAGUCACCCAAACUCUGAAGCUCUGGGUAAGAUUUAUUUCCCUCUUUCCUAUCCUGUCCCUGCCUCCAUUCCUUCCCCAGGCACACAAUCCGUUAGUCAUCAAGCUGUAUCUGUCCCCACCCAGCUCUAUUGCGAGGAACCAGGACUGCUAAAACCACAUCUUGGAAUAAACUUCCAGCUGGUUUGCCCCCAUUCAGGCUCUCUGUCCUGGAGAGCACAACCAGACUAAUGUUGUGAAUCAAUUCCUUCAAGGGUUUUUUUGUGCUUUUUGAUGGGCCAGGCAAUGUUCUAAGCUGGAGGCACAUCACCUCUCUGCCUUGCUCUGGCUUUCCCUUCUGCUUGGAGUUUUACUCUCCCUCUGGCCAAUAUUUCUGGUUUCAGAACCACUGACUACUCUACUUCUCCCAAUGGAUGAGGCCAUGGUAUAUCCACAUCCUUUCCCCUGUGACCUGAGGCUGGAAAGGUUUAAAGAGCU